This 301-nucleotide ribosomal RNA is filed under the name uncultured bacterium. RNAcentral describes it as "partial 16S ribosomal RNA". It matches the Rfam family "Bacterial small subunit ribosomal RNA", at positions 509 to 807 of the family's 1533-position model. The record is from RNAcentral.
CAGUCGCCGCGGUAAUACGAAGGGGGCUAGCGUUGCUCGGAAUGACUGGGCGUAAAGGGCGCGUAGGCGGUUUAUACAGUCAGAUGUGAAAUUCCUGGGCUCAACCUGGGGACUGCAUUUGAUACGUAUGGACUUGAGUGGAGAAGAGGGUCGUGGAAUUUCCAGUGUAGAGGUGAAAUUCGUAGAUAUUGGAAAGAACACCGGUGGCGAAGGCGGCGACCUGGUCUUUAACUGACGCUGAGGCGCGAAAGCGUGGGGAGCAAACAGGAUUAGAUACCCGAGUAGUCCCUGUCUCUUAUAC